UCACUUUUUGAUUGUUUCAACAGCAAGGUAAACAACAACUUGCUUGAAGAAGAAGUACAUACACCUACCCCACUUUUGACACGGAUGAUCACUGAUGAACCUAUUGAUGGAGGAAGCAUUUGAAUUUGGCAAAGAAUGUAUCUAUUCUGGUGAUGUUCUUUGAGAUGAAUACCUUAUAGAGUUUGUAGCUUGAAAAUGUGAACACUUUUGUUUCUUUGUUAGUAAGAAAAUCUUUUCUAAUCUUUUCCUUCCAAAUUUAAACCAAUUUCCCGACUUUUGAAUAGUAGAUAUAAUGGAUGAAUAGACAUGGUGGAAUGAUUUUUUUUCCUUCCAAAACAACAUGGAUAUAGAUAGUGAAAUUGAAGCAAUUGGUGAAACUCCUUCAACAUCUGUUCCUCCACUUCCACCAUCAUGUUUAGGGAAGAGAAAAAAUAGAAAACACUUCACAAUUAUAGGGAAUUCAAAAGCAGAAGAUGUUAGGUGUACAUGCAACUAUUAUGGGUAGGAUUAUGGUUGUAGGGCUAGGAAGUAUGAGACCGGUACCUUGAAGAAUCAUUUGGUUCUUUAUUGUAAGAAGUAUCCCGAAAGAUUGGAAGAUAAACGACAAACUAAGGGUGGUGUGAACAUUCUAGUUGGCUUUAAUAAGGAAGAGUGCAGGUUUGUAUGUACUAAGAUGAUAAUAUUUGAUGAAUUACCUUUUAGAUUUGUCGAAGGUGAGGGGUUUAGACAAUUUUGUAGGCUAGCAUGUCCUAAAUUUGAUCCUUCAUCUUGUAGAAUUGUUGUUAGAGAUAUUUAUUAGUUGUAGUUGGAUAAAAAAUUGCAAUUUAAAAAGAUCAUCCAACGUUAAAGAGUUUCUCUUACUACUGAUACUUGGAGUUCCAUUCAAAAUAUUAAUUCUAUGUGUCUCACAGCACACUUUGUUGAUUUUGAUUGGAAGCUUCAUAAAUGGAUUUUGGCCUUCCGUGUGAUUGCUAAUCAUAAAGGUAAAACCAUUGGUAAAGUUGAUGAAACUUGUUUGCAUGUAUGGGGUAUUAAGAGAUUAUUUACAAUCAUAGUUGAUAAUGCAACUCUAAAUGAAACAGCUAUUUCUUAUAUUAAGAGGAAGAUGAUUGGUCAAAGUGGUGAUGGGUGUGUUUAGAUGGAAAGUAUCUAUACAUGAGGUGUUGUGCACAUAUUAUUAAUUUGAUUGUGUGUGAGGGGUUGAAGGAAGCACAUGAUUUAAUUGUUAGUAUUCGAAAUGCAAUAAAGUUAAUUAUGUGGAUAGAUGCUUGUUAGAUGCUUGUGAAGAUAUAAAGGACGAUACUUUUGAUGUUUUUAAUUGGUGGAAGGUGAAUGGAAACAAAUAUGGUGCAUUGUCAAAACUUGCAAGAGAUGUAAUGGCUAUUCAAGUGCCUACUAUGGCCUCAGAAAUUGCUUUCAGUACCGAAGGAAGAAUUCUUAAUCCAUUUCAUAGUUCUUUAACUCCUAGGAUGGUGGAAGUUUUGGUGUGUACAGAAAAUUGGAUUAAAGAGUCUACAAGCAUGGAGAAAUUCUAUAUGGAAGAUGUGGAGGAAUAUAAUAAGUUGGAUCAAAGUAAUGUAGCUAUUCCAUGAUUCAUGUUAAAUAUGUAUUUUAUCGAAUUAUUCCUCAUUUAAUUAUUAUUUUUUUGUAGAACUUUUGGAAUCAGAGAAAUCAAAUGAAGGCUAAAUCAAUGUGAUUAGUUCAUUUCUAAAUUUUUGAGGUAGAUAUGUAUUCAAAUGUGCUUUACUCUUUAUUAAUGUAAUAUUUAUCGUUUUUCUCUAACUAUUUCUAUUAUUUGUAUUGUAGGAAUGAUGCUUAAAGCUUACGCGAUAACUCGGAAGUCGUAACAUUUUACCUUAUUAUUUGUUUUAUGAGAAUUUUGAUUUUGGAUUAUUGUAGC
Molecule: long non-coding RNA, 1900 nt
Filed under: Olea europaea subsp. europaea
Lineage: Eukaryota; Viridiplantae; Streptophyta; Magnoliopsida; Lamiales; Oleaceae
Source: RNAcentral